UCUGAAUUUGAACCCUUUAUAUUUGAAUUUGAAUGGCUAAACUUGAAUAAUUGCAUUGAAAAACUGAAUUUGAAUCACAUAAUUUGAAAUUGUAUUGUUUAUUUAAAAUUGAAUUUAUUCAAAAACUGAAUCUGAAUUGUAUCAUUUGAAAUUGAAUUUAUUCGUUUGGAACUGAAGUCCAAUAAAAUUUGAUCCUCACUGAAAAUUAAACUCUCUAUAUAUCUUCACAUUCACUUCUCACAAUUCAGAUUCAGUUCUCAAAUUCAAUUUCAAGUUACUGAGACAGACAUCCGGGUAGUUGGAGGAUGAAGGAAGAGCAAUCGAGCGCAGAUCGAUAGAUAGCGUUCAUUGGCGCACAGGACUCCUCUUGGGCCAAUCAGCACCAAUGUUUUGGAGCACAGGGCGUUACCCGCCAUGAAACAAAGAAGAAGUGCUGCCUGACUUGCGUGACCACCACCAUGGAUUCGGCUGGGACAAAUACGAUUCCUGCUGCUCCAGUAGCUCUGAUCGACUUCUCCUCUGCUAAAGCCAAAAAAAAAAAAGCUUGACCGUUCUAUUGAUGGCAGGACAACUGAAAACCAGUUAUGGAUGCAAACAUGAAGCACAAGCCAGAGGAGUCUAUGAGAAGCUGAUGGGUCGGGAGCAUGCAGGCUUCUCCUGUAUGGACAGUGGUCUCUGGCUGAACCCCAAGUGGCCAUACAUGGGGUCCU
Molecule: long non-coding RNA, 710 nt
Organism: Xyrauchen texanus (razorback sucker)
Lineage: Eukaryota; Metazoa; Chordata; Actinopteri; Cypriniformes; Catostomidae
Exons: 3
Source: RefSeq, a predicted model, not a curated record